Molecule: ribosomal RNA, 475 nt
Filed under: uncultured bacterium
Lineage: Bacteria
Description: bacterial SSU rRNA
Rfam family: Bacterial small subunit ribosomal RNA
Source: RNAcentral
AUUGAACGCUGGCGGAAUGCUUUACACAUGCAAGUCGAACGGCAGCACGGACUUCGGUCUGGUGGCGAGUGGCGAACGGGUGAGUAAUAUAUCGGAACGUGCCCAGUCGUGGGGGAUAACGUAGUGAAAAUUACGCUAAUACCGCAUACGAUCUAAGGAUGAAAGCGGGGGAUCGCAAGGCCUCACGCAGAAAGAUGAGCCGACGCCCGAUUAGCUAGUUGGUGAGGUAAAGGCUCACCAAGGCGACGAUCGGUAGCUGGUCUGAGAGGAUGAUCAGCCACACUGGGACUGAGACACGGCCCAGACUCCUACGGGAGGCAGCAGUGGGGAAUAUUGGUCAAUGGGCGCAAGCCUGACGGAGCAAUGCCGCGUGAAGGAUGAAGGCCUAUGGGUUGUAAACUUCUUUUCUCAGAGAAGAAAUUUUGACGGUAUCUGAGGAAUAAGCAUCGGCUAACUCUGUGCCAGCAGCCGCGGU